CGGCACUUUGGAGAAUCCCGCCGACGGCGGGUGCCGAAGGGGCAAAGCGCACCGCGCGAAUCUCUCAGGCAAAAGGACAAAG
This 82-nucleotide non-coding RNA is filed under the name human gut metagenome. RNAcentral describes it as "Glycine riboswitch". It matches the Rfam family "Glycine riboswitch aptamer", at positions 9 to 86 of the family's 94-position model. Rfam says of the family: This family represents the bacterial glycine riboswitch. Glycine riboswitches usually consist of two metabolite-binding aptamers domains with similar structures in tandem. The record is from RNAcentral.